This 1154-nucleotide non-coding RNA is filed under the name Glycine max (soybean). Its description in RNAcentral is "Bacterial small subunit ribosomal RNA". It matches the Rfam family "Bacterial small subunit ribosomal RNA", at positions 401 to 1533 of the family's 1533-position model. The record is from Rfam by way of RNAcentral. Lineage: Eukaryota; Viridiplantae; Streptophyta; Magnoliopsida; Fabales; Fabaceae.
UAAGUAGAUUUUUUAGUUUUUGAAGUUUACAUUUUAAUUUUCAUAAAAUCUUUGUUAUUAAAAUUUUUUAAUUCACUUAUUAAAAUUUUAAUUCCCAAAAGGCCCAUGUUUAUGGAAUAAGCAUUGGUUAACUCUAUGUGAGCAGUUGUGAUAAGAUAAAGGAUGCAAGUGUUAUCCGGAAUGAUUGGGCGUAAAGCGUCUGUAGGUGACUUUUUAAGUUUGCUGUCAAAUCCCAGGGCUCAACCUUGGACAGGUGGUGAAAACUACCAAGUUGGAGUACGGUAGGGGUAGAGGAAAUUUCCGGUGGAGCGGUGAAAUGCGUAGAGAUCGAAAAGAACACCAAUGGCGAAAGCACUCUGUUGGGCCGACACUGACAAUGAGAGACAAAAGCUAGGGGAACGAAUGGGAUUAGAUACCCCAGUAGUCCUAGCCGUAAACGAUGGAUACUAGGCGCUAUGUGUAUCAACCCGUGCAAUGUUGUAGCUAACGCGUUAAGUAUCCCGCUUGGGGAGAACGUUCACAAGAAUGAAACUCAAAGGAAUUGAUGGGGGGCCGCACAAGCGUUGGAGCAUGUUGUUUUAAUUCGAUGCAAAGCAAAGAACUUUACCCUGGCUUGAUAUGUUGUGAAUCCUCUUGAAAAAAAGGGGUGCCUUCGGGGACCUAGACACAGGUGGUGCAUGACUAUCAUCAGCUCGUGCCAUAAGGUGUUGGGUUAAGUUCGCAACGAGCGCAACCCUCAUGUUUAGUUGCCAACAUUGAGUUUAGAACCCUGAGCAGACUGUCAGUGAUAAGCCGGAGGAAGGUGAGGAUGACAUCAAGUCAUCAUGCCCCUUAUGACACGUGCUACACUGGAUGUGACAAAGGAUCAUGAUCCCGCAAGGGUGAACUAGCUCCAAAAACUCGUCCUUAGUUCGGAUUAUAGACUGCAACUCACCUGCAUGAAGCCGAAAUCGCUAGUAAUCGCCAGUCAGUCAUACGGCGACGAAUUCAUUCCCGAGGCCUUGUACACACCGCCCGUCAUACUAUGGGAGCUGACCAUGCCAGAAGUCGUUACCUUAACCGCAAGGAGGGGGAUGCCAAAGGCAAGGUUAGUGACUGAAGUGAAGUCGUAAUAAGAUAGUCGUACUGAAAGGUGUGGUUGGAUCACUUCCUUU